CAUUGUCGAAUCCUGCACAGCAGAACGACCCGCGAACCGUCGAAUCGCAUCCUUCUGGACGAGAGCCGGGCGGCCUCCGCCUUCCCCGGUGCCUCGGCCGAAACAACAAACCCCGGCGCGGCACGCGCCAAGGAAAACUCGAACGGAAUUGGUGUGCCCGGACGAUAGUGCAUCGUCCCGGUGCCGCCGGUCUUCCGGGAAAAUCUCGAAUGACUCUCGGCAACGGAUAUCUCGGCUCUCGCAUCGAUGAAGAACGUAGCGAAAUGCGAUACUUGGUGUGAAUUGCAGAAUCCCGUGAACCAUCGAGUCUUUGAACGCAAGUUGCGCCCGAGGCCACCCGGCCGAGGGCACGUCUGCCUGGGCGUCACGCGAACGCCGCUCCCGCCCCCUCGCAAGAGCGCGGACAGGAGCGAAUGUUGGCCCCCCGUGACCCGGCUCACGGUCGGCUUAAAACGGAUCCCCCCUCGUUGCCCCGCGACGCGAUCGGUGGUGGUUGACGGCAACCCUUACCCGCGAUUGGACGACGCGGCCGAGGGGCACGGGGGAAACGAACCCUUCGGAGAGAACUCCACGAGCGACCUCAGGUCAGG
RNAcentral lists this ribosomal RNA (590 nucleotides) under Tinomiscium petiolare. Its description in RNAcentral is "eukaryotic LSU rRNA". The stretch from base 212 to 367 matches the Rfam family "5.8S ribosomal RNA". Lineage: Eukaryota; Viridiplantae; Streptophyta; Magnoliopsida; Ranunculales; Menispermaceae. The record is from RNAcentral.